This 131-nucleotide small RNA is filed under the name Salmonella enterica subsp. enterica serovar Hadar. RNAcentral's name for it is "RtT sRNA". It matches the Rfam family "RtT RNA". From Rfam's summary of the family: This family represents a bacterial cis-regulatory element known as RtT RNA. The exact function of RtT is unknown although it is thought that it may be involved in changing the cellular response in relation to amino acid starvation. Lineage: Bacteria; Pseudomonadati; Pseudomonadota; Gammaproteobacteria; Enterobacterales; Enterobacteriaceae. The record is from RNAcentral.
AUAUCUCUCCGUACGGGCAGGAUGAGAAGCUUCGACCAAGGUUCGAUUCGAGCGCAGCGAGAAAGCGUUGCCGCAGGCAACGACCCGAAGGGCGAAGCGCGCAGCGCUGAGUCAUCCUUCCCCCACCACCA